This 75-nucleotide transfer RNA is filed under the name Campylobacter fetus subsp. fetus. RNAcentral's name for it is "tRNA-Glu(ctc)". It matches the Rfam family "tRNA". Rfam says of the family: Transfer RNA (tRNA) molecules are approximately 80 nucleotides in length. Their secondary structure includes four short double-helical elements and three loops (D, anti-codon, and T loops). The record is from RNAcentral. Lineage: Bacteria; Pseudomonadati; Campylobacterota; Epsilonproteobacteria; Campylobacterales; Campylobacteraceae. RNAcentral also lists the same sequence under 1 other name.
GGCCCCUUCGUCUAGCGGUUAGGACGCCGGCCUCUCACGUCGGCAACACGAGUUCGAGUCUCGUAGGGGUCACCA